UGAAAGUUGGCCAAUUGCUGACCAGCCUGCUCUCCCUACUCUAUAUAAGAACAGCUCUUGGCUUGCGGAUCUUCACAGCCUGAGGCAGAGGUCUGGACAAAUGAGCAACAGGACAGAACGUUCCAGCACCCACUGACUACAUCAGAGGCACAAAUAUUUGCUAAGACCAGGGGCCUCCCAGACAUGCUGGCAAGAUUGGGGAAAGCAAGUGUAUGGAGCCUCUCCCUCUGGGGCCAGACAAAGAAACUGAGGUCCACGAAAGGAAGAGAAUAUGCAAAAGGACUGGGAGAUGGGAGAUCCUGAAGUGGAGACAGGACCAGAGAGCUGACAUCCAACCAGUAGUCUCCCACCUGCACUGGCUCUGCAGCUCCCCUACUCAAGAACUUCCCUUGAGGGGCGCCUGGGUGGCUCAGUGGGUUAAAGCCUCUGCCUUCGGCUCAGGUCAUGAUCCCAGGGUCCUGGGAUCGAGCCCCGCAUCCGGCUCUCUGCUCAGCAGGGAGUCUGCUUUCUCAUCUCUCUCUGCCUGCCUCUCUGCUGACUUGUGC
This 545-nucleotide long non-coding RNA is filed under the name Mustela putorius furo (domestic ferret). RNAcentral describes it as "lncRNA (ENSMPUG00000032097.1)". The record is from RNAcentral. Lineage: Eukaryota; Metazoa; Chordata; Mammalia; Carnivora; Mustelidae.